GAUGAACGCUGGCGGCGUGCCUAAUACAUGCAAGUCGAGCGAACGGACGAGAAGCUUGCUUCUCUGAUGUUAGCGGCGGACGGGUGAGUAACACGUGGAUAACCUACCUAUAAGACUGGGAUAACUUCGGGAAACCGGAGCUAAUACCGGAUAAUAUUUUGAACCGCAUGGUUCAAAAGUGAAAGACGGUCUUGCUGUCACUUAUAGAUGGAUCCGCGCUGCAUUAGCUAGUUGGUAAGGUAACGGCUUACCAAGGCAACGAUGCAUAGCCGACCUGAGAGGGUGAUCGGCCACACUGGAACUGAGACACGGUCCAGACUCCUACGGGAGGCAGCAGUAGGGAAUCUUCCGCAAUGGGCGAAAGCCUGACGGAGNCACGCCGCGUGAGUGAUGAAGGUCUUCGGAUCGUAAAACUCUGUUAUUAGGNAAGAACAUAUGUGUAAGUAACUGUGCACAUCUUGACGGUACCUAAUCAGAAAGCCACGGCUAACUACGUGCCAGCAGCCCGCGGUAUACGUAGGUGGCAAGCGUUAUCGGGAUUAUUGGGCGUAAAGCGCGCGUAGCGAUUUUUUAGUCUGAUGUGAAAGCCCACGGCUCAACCGUGGAGGGUCAUUGGAAACUGGAAAACUUGAGUGCAGAAGAGGAAAGUGGAAUUCCAUGUGUAGCGGUGAAAUGCUCAGAGAUAUGGAGGAACACCAGUGGCGAAGGCGACUUUCUGGUCUGUAACUGACGCUGAUGUGCGAAAGCGUGGGGAUCAAACAGGAUUAGAUACCCUGGUAGUCCACGCCGUAAACGAUGAGUGCUAAGUGUUAGGGGGUUUCCGCCCCUUAGUGCUGCAGCUAACGCAUUAAGCACUCCGCCUGGGGAGUACGACCGCAAGGUUGAAACUCAAAGGAAUUGACGGGGACCCGCACAAGCGGUGGAGCAUGUGGUUUAAUUCGAAGCAACGCGAAGAACCUUACCAAAUCUUGACAUCCUUUGACAACUCUAGAGAUAGAGCCUUCCCCUUCGGGGGACAAAGUGACAGGUGGUGCAUGGUUGUCGUCAGCUCGUGUCGUGAGAUGUUGGGUUAAGUCCCGCAACGAGCGCAACCCUUAAGCUUAGUUGCCAUCAUUAAGUUGGGCACUCUAAGUUGACUGCCGGUGACAAACCGGAGGAAGGUGGGGAUGACGUCAAAUCAUCAUGCCCCUUAUGAUUUGGGCUACACACGUGCUACAAUGGACAAUACAAAGGGCAGCGAAACCGCGAGGUCAAGCAAAUCCCAUAAAGUUGUUCUCAGUUCGGAUUGUAGUCUGCAACUCGACUACAUGAAGCUGGAAUCGCUAGUAAUCGUAGAUCAGCAUGCUACGGUGAAUACGUUCCCGGGUCU
RNAcentral lists this ribosomal RNA (1369 nucleotides) under uncultured bacterium. RNAcentral's name for it is "bacterial SSU rRNA". It matches the Rfam family "Bacterial small subunit ribosomal RNA", at positions 28 to 1381 of the family's 1533-position model. The record is from RNAcentral.